This 418-nucleotide ribosomal RNA is filed under the name Drosophila meridiana. Its description in RNAcentral is "partial 12S ribosomal RNA". Lineage: Eukaryota; Metazoa; Arthropoda; Insecta; Diptera; Drosophilidae. The record is from RNAcentral.
AUACUUAAGUAGUAAUAGUUAUGUUCUUGAAACUUAAAAAAUUUGGCGGUAUUUUAGUCUAUUCAGAGGAACCUGUUUUGUAAUCGAUAAUCCACGAUGGACCUUACUUAAAUUUGUAAUCAGUUUAUAUACCGUCGUUAUCAGAAUAUUUUAUAAGAAUAAUAAUAUUCAAUAAUUUUUAUUAAAAUUUAUAUCAGAUCAAGGUGUAGCUUAUAUUUAAGUAAUAAUGGGUUACAAUAAAUUUAUUUAAACGAAUAAAACUAUGAAAAAGUUUUUGAAGGUGGAUUUGAUUGUAAAAUUAUAAAGAUUAAUAGUUUGAUUAUAGCUCUAAAAUAUGUACACAUCGCCCGUCGCUCUUAUUAUUAAGGUAAGAUAAGUCGUAACAUAGUAGAUGUACUGGAAAGUGUAUCUAGAAUGA